UGGGGAAUUUUGGACAAUGGGCGCAAGCCUGAUCCAGCAAUGCCGCGUGUGUGAAGAAGGCCUUCGGGUUGUAAAGCACUUUUGUCCGGAAAGAAAUCCUCUGGGUUAAUACCCCGGGGGGAUGACGGUACCGGAAGAAUAAGCACCGGCUAACUACGUGCCAGCAGCCGCGGUAAUACGUAGGGUGCAAGCGUUAAUCGGAAUUACUGGGCGUAAAGCGUGCGCAGGCGGUGAUGCAAGACCGAUGUGAAAUCCCCGGGCUUAACCUGGGAACUGCAUUGGUGACUGCAUCGCUAGAGUAUGGCAGAGGGGGGUAGAAUUCCACGUGUAGCAGUGAAAUGCGUAGAGAUGUGGAGGAAUACCGAUGGCGAAGGCAGCCCCCUGGGCCAAUACUGACGCUCAUGCACGAAAGCGUGGGGAGCAAACA
Molecule: ribosomal RNA, 427 nt
Filed under: uncultured Burkholderia sp.
Lineage: Bacteria; Pseudomonadati; Pseudomonadota; Betaproteobacteria; Burkholderiales; Burkholderiaceae
Description: bacterial SSU rRNA
Rfam family: Bacterial small subunit ribosomal RNA
Source: RNAcentral